Molecule: long non-coding RNA, 946 nt
Organism: Canis lupus familiaris (dog)
Lineage: Eukaryota; Metazoa; Chordata; Mammalia; Carnivora; Canidae
Exons: 7
Source: RefSeq, a predicted model, not a curated record
CAAAAGCUUUAAGUAAGGGAUGAAGUGAGGCUAUGUCCAAAGUGGGAAGGCAUUCCUCUAUUUGUCAUUGGUGCAGAGAACAGGGGACAGGAUUUGGCUUCAAAGAUAGAGACUCAAAUACUCCUCUUUUGAAGAUCAUUACUGCCAUCUGUCUCAAAAAAAAGAAUUAUAUAUGAGACAGAAGUGCUACCCACAUUGAAGGGAAGUCAAUAGAAGUGUCAGCCACUUCAUCAAGCUAAAACUGAGCAGUAAGUACCAAUGAGGAAACUAAAACACAAAGAAAUUACAUAACUUCUCCAGGAUCCCAUCAUUAGGAAGUGCACAGCAGAUCUUUGAACCCAGGCAGGCUGGCUCUAGAGACUAAAUUCUUACCAACCCCACCAUAAUGCCUCCCUACAGUACAUACAAGGGGGAUCAUUAAAGAACAUGAAUUGCUCCAAUGUACUCAAAAAGAAUGCUGUAAGAAUGCUAAUAUCUUCAUGCCUAUACUUGAAUACUCCUGAAGUAUAAAUGCCUAGAGAAGAAAUGGAUGGAUCAGAAGAGACAGAAGGCAUGAGAGGGAGAACAGAGAGAGAAGGAGAAAGGAUCCCAAGCAGACUCUACACUGACCACAAGCCAGGCUCGGGGCUCACUGUCACACUCCUGAAAUCACCACCUGAGCCAAAACCAGGAGUUCCACAUUCAGCUGACUCCACCACCCAGAUGCCCCAUCAUAUUUGGGCUUUUAAUAACCCAGAUUUUUUGUGUGAUAUAAGUUCAAAGUGAUGCGGAAGCAGGAUGCCUUCUUCAUGGUCAUUGUCCCUAUCCAAGGACUCCAAGGACCCCCACAGGAGGACAGACCUACAGAAUGGAAGAUGCCUGAUUUCCAGAAUGAUCUUAUGGAAGUCAGCCUAACCACAAACUCUUACACUUGACUAAGAGUAAGAUAUAAAUCAUUUGUUGUAAU